GAGGGUAUAGUUCAGUGGUAGAGUGCCUGCUUAGCAUGCAUGAGGUCCUGGGUUCAGUUCCCAGUGCCUCCA
Molecule: transfer RNA, 72 nt
Filed under: Camelus bactrianus (Bactrian camel)
Lineage: Eukaryota; Metazoa; Chordata; Mammalia; Artiodactyla; Camelidae
Also listed under: 2 other names
Rfam family: tRNA
About the family: Transfer RNA (tRNA) molecules are approximately 80 nucleotides in length. Their secondary structure includes four short double-helical elements and three loops (D, anti-codon, and T loops).
Source: Rfam by way of RNAcentral